UGGGUGAUCUGCCCUGCACUUUGGGAUAAGCCUGGGAAACUGGGUCUAAUACCGAAUACACCCUGCUGGCCGCAUGGUCUGGUGGGGGAAAGCUUUUGCGGUGUGGGAUGGGCCCGCGGCCUAUCAGCUUGUUGGUGGGGUGAUGGCCUACCAAGGCGACGACGGGUAGCCGGCCUGAGAGGGUGUCCGGCCACACUGGGACUGAGAUACGGCCCAGACUCCGUACGGGGAGGCA
Molecule: ribosomal RNA, 235 nt
Filed under: uncultured bacterium
Lineage: Bacteria
Description: partial 16S ribosomal RNA
Rfam family: Bacterial small subunit ribosomal RNA
Source: RNAcentral